GUAGGGAAUCUUCCACAAUGGGCGCAAGCCUGAUGGAGCAACGCCGCGUGUGUGAUGAAGGCUUUCGGGUCGUAAAGCACUGUUGUAUGGGAAGAAAUGCUAAAAUAGGGAAUGAUUUUAGUUUGACGGUACCAUACCAGAAAGGGACGGCUAAAUACGUGCCAGCAGCCGCGGUAAUACGUAUGUCCCGAGCGUUAUCCGGAUUUAUUGGGCGUAAAGCGAGCGCAGACGGUUGAUUAAGUCUGAUGUGAAAGCCCGGAGCUCAACUCCGGAAUGGCAUUGGAAACUGGUUAACUUGAGUGUUGUAGAGGUAAGUGGAACUCCAUGUGUAGCGGUGGAAUGCGUAGAUAUAUGGAAGAACACCAGUGGCGAAGGCGGCUUACUGGACAACAACUGACGUUGAGGCUCGAAAGUGUGGGUAGCAAACAGG
This 430-nucleotide ribosomal RNA is filed under the name uncultured Leuconostoc sp. RNAcentral's name for it is "bacterial SSU rRNA". It matches the Rfam family "Bacterial small subunit ribosomal RNA", at positions 354 to 776 of the family's 1533-position model. The record is from RNAcentral. Lineage: Bacteria; Bacillati; Bacillota; Bacilli; Lactobacillales; Lactobacillaceae.